RNAcentral lists this ribosomal RNA (463 nucleotides) under uncultured bacterium. RNAcentral describes it as "partial 16S ribosomal RNA". It matches the Rfam family "Bacterial small subunit ribosomal RNA", at positions 28 to 507 of the family's 1533-position model. The record is from RNAcentral.
GACGAACGCUGGCGGCGUGCUUAACACAUGCAAGUCGAACGGAAAGGCCUUUUCGGAGGUACUCGAGUGGCGAACGGGUGAGUAACACGUGGGUGAUCUGCCCUGCACUCUGGGAUAAGCCUGGGAAACUGGGUCUAAUACCGGAUAGGACCGCACUUUAGUGUGUGUGGUGGAAAGUUUUUUCGGGGUAGGAUGAGCCCGCGGCCUAUCAGCUUGUUGGUGGGGUAAUGGCCUACCAAGGCGGCGACGGGUAGCCGGACUGAGAGGUUGGUCGGCCACAUUGGGACUGAGAUACGGCCCAGACUCCUACGGGAGGCAGCAGUGGGGAAUAUUGCACAAUGGGCGCAAGCCUGAUGCAGCGACGCCGCGUGGGGGAUGACGGCCUUCGGGUUGUAAACUCCUUUCGCCAGGGACGAAGCGUUUUGUGACGGUACCUGGAGAAGAAGCACCGGCUAACUACGUG